AUGUAGAAACAUGAGGAGAUCCCAUGGGCUUAGGCUGGUGUUGAGUACGUUGUUGAGUCCACUGGUGUUUUCACUAACAAGGACAGUGCUGCAGCUCACAUUAAGCCUUAA
RNAcentral lists this ribosomal RNA (111 nucleotides) under Triticum aestivum (bread wheat). Its description in RNAcentral is "partial small subunit ribosomal RNA". Lineage: Eukaryota; Viridiplantae; Streptophyta; Magnoliopsida; Poales; Poaceae. The record is from RNAcentral.